This 30-nucleotide non-coding RNA is filed under the name Mus musculus (house mouse). The record is from RNAcentral. Lineage: Eukaryota; Metazoa; Chordata; Mammalia; Rodentia; Muridae.
UAUAGCAAUCUAGUCUUGUUAUGACAGUGG